AAUUGAUAGAUAAGCUGCUCAUUAGUUGAAAGACUGGUAGGUAAAGGAAGGAAGACAGGACUGUGGAGGAUAUAGGCUUGGAGUGUAAAGUCCUGUUAGGGCAAGAUGAUGAAAGCUCUUGUGGAAUAUGCUGGCUUUGUGAAGUCUGUGUGUCCAUGGCUCACUAGAGGAGGCAAUGCUCGCUCCUAAGCAAGGGAUUUUGAAGGCCUAUCACUGUAAACUUUUGGCACUAUUCACACUGUAGCUAUGCGACAAAUGCAAUUGCAGGUCAAGCUGCUGGCGUUCAGUUUCCCUGCAGAGCUUCACAGUACUUUCUAAAGAAAGUGUGUUCUCAACUUUGUGUAUGAAGACUGAGAAUGUGACUGAGGACAAAAGGGAAGAAGAGUACACAACUACAGCCUCCUUCAGAAAGCAGUGCUUCUUUUUCCACUGGUUAAGGCCAUAUAAUAUGCAUCAAUGUGACAGAAUAACUAAACUGAAGUAGAAACGUAUCCUGUGAGAGAACCUCAUUUAUUAUUUUUUCCUGUUAGUGGACAUGUGAGGUAGUCCAGAUGAUUUCAGUGAAAGAUGAUACUUAGUGAUCAACAGAACUGAUAUCGGGAUGUGAGCCAUGAACUUCCCAUCUUUGCAUCUCUCCUCCCUCUGACUUGCAGCUGGCUGGGGGGGUUCUUGCUUUGAAGGCACUGUUUUCAACACACCCACAACCUGUCAGCAGGCCAGAUCCUGGCCUGUUGACCCUUUCAAGCCAAUGGCACUGCAUCUCUGAUGUGCCCAGCAGUGCUCUAGGGACACACCACACAGUGCGACCCAGGGGACUGAACCUCCAGAAUAUCCAGUCUUUCCAUAGUGCAGCAGUAAAAAACACCUCACAAAAGUGCCACAUUGAAUGC
Molecule: long non-coding RNA, 890 nt
Organism: Pezoporus occidentalis (night parrot)
Lineage: Eukaryota; Metazoa; Chordata; Aves; Psittaciformes; Psittacidae
Exons: 3
Source: RefSeq, a predicted model, not a curated record